RNAcentral lists this ribosomal RNA (292 nucleotides) under uncultured bacterium. RNAcentral describes it as "partial 16S ribosomal RNA". It matches the Rfam family "Bacterial small subunit ribosomal RNA", at positions 505 to 796 of the family's 1533-position model. The record is from RNAcentral.
GUGACAGCCGCCGCGGUAAUACGGAGUGUGCAAGCGUUACUCGGAAUCACUGGGCAUAAAGCGCGCGUAGGCGGGACGACAAGUCGGCUGUGAAAUCCCUCAGCUUAACUGAGGAGCUGCAGCCGAUACUGUCAUUCUCGAGGACGAAAGGGGAGAGCGGAACUUCUGGUGAAGCGGUGAAAUGCGUAGAUAUCAGAAGGAACGCCGGUGGCGAAAGCGGCUCUCUGGUUCGUAUCUGACGCUGAGGCGCGAAAGCUUGGGUAGCAAACGGGAUUAGAAACCCCGGUAGUCC